UAUAAAGUUAUUUUCAUUUCGGGACUCGGGAUCCCUAUUACCUUCCACAUCUCAUGCAAUGACAAGUAAAUAAACACUCAUCUUGAGAAUAACAUACAUAUCAUGGAAAAUAUUGGUCACCCCCUGCCGCUUCAUGAGCGGUACGGACACACAAAAAGGAAAUUCAUUUUGAAAAUUAGAGUUCGCACAUACAAAUUUACUUGUAAUGGCAUGGAAAUACCGCAUAUAGGUAGGUAUGGUGGACUCAUUUCGCACAACUUUGGGUUGAAGGAGUUGGAUGCACAAGCAGUAUUCCCGCUUAGUACAAAUGGAGGCUAGCAAAUAGAUUGAGAAGCGACCAACCAAGAAACAAAAACGAUCAUAAAUGGGCAUUAAACAUAACUAAC
This 386-nucleotide long non-coding RNA is filed under the name Hordeum vulgare. RNAcentral describes it as "long non-coding RNA (HVUL_LNC009978)". Lineage: Eukaryota; Viridiplantae; Streptophyta; Magnoliopsida; Poales; Poaceae. The record is from RNAcentral.